GACAAACGCUGGCGGUAUGCCUAACACAUGCAAGUCGAACGGACAGAACAGGGAAGCUUUUCGGAGUGGAACUGGAAAGUUAGUGGCGGAUGGGUGAGUAACGCGUGGACAACCUACCUUGUAAAGGGGAAUAACCUCGAGAAAUCGAAGCUAAUACCCCAUAAUAACCUUGCUUCGCAUGAAGUAAGGAGGAAAGGCGGCCUUAGCGCUGUCGAUACAAGAUGGGUCCGCGUCUGAUUAGCUAGUUGGUGAGGUAAAGGCUCACCAAGGCGACGAUCAGUAGCCGGCCUGAGAGGGUGAACGGCCACAUUGGGACUGAGACACGGCCCAAACUCCUACGGGAGGCAGCAGUGGGGAAUCUUCCGCAAUGGGCGAAAGCCUGACGGAGCAAUGCCGCGUGAGUGAAGGAGGCCUUCGGGUUGUAAAACUCUGUCCUUAUCGAAGAGAGAGUGUUGUAGUAACUGACAAUACUAGGACGGUAGAUGAGGAGGAAGCCCCGGCUAACUAUGUG
Molecule: ribosomal RNA, 511 nt
Filed under: uncultured bacterium
Lineage: Bacteria
Description: partial 16S ribosomal RNA
Rfam family: Bacterial small subunit ribosomal RNA
Source: RNAcentral